GGGCGAUUAGCUCAGUUGGCUAGAGCGCCUCGUUUACACCGAGGAAGUCGCUGGUUCGAGUCCGGCAUCGCUCA
Molecule: transfer RNA, 74 nt
Filed under: Phycisphaerae bacterium
Lineage: Bacteria; Pseudomonadati; Planctomycetota; Phycisphaerae
Also listed under: 1 other name
Description: tRNA-Val
Rfam family: tRNA
About the family: Transfer RNA (tRNA) molecules are approximately 80 nucleotides in length. Their secondary structure includes four short double-helical elements and three loops (D, anti-codon, and T loops).
Source: RNAcentral